GAUGGACGCUGGCGGCGCGCCUAACACAUGCAAGUCGAACGGAGUCCAGCCUUUAAGACCUUCGGGUCAAAGAGGGGAAGACUGAGUGGCGGACGGGUGAGUAACACGUGGGCAACCUGGCUCAUAGAGGGGGAUAACAGAGAGAAAUUUCUGCUAAUACCGCAUAAGCACACACUGCCGCAUGGCAGAGGGUGAAAAGAGAAUCGCUAUGAGAUGGACCCGCGUCUGAUUAGCCAGUUGGCAGGGUAAGAGCCUACCAAAGCGACGAUCAGUAGCCGAUCUGAGAGGAUGAACGGCCACAUUGGGACUGAGACACGGCCCAAACUCCUACGGGAGGCAGCAGUGGGGGAUAUUGCACAAUGGGGGGAACCCUGAUGCAGCGACGCCGCGUGAGUGAAGAAGUAUUUCGGUAUGUAAAGCUCUAUCAGCAGGGAAGAUAAUGACAGUACCUGAAUAAGAAGCCCCGGCUAACUACGUG
This 478-nucleotide ribosomal RNA is filed under the name uncultured bacterium. Its description in RNAcentral is "partial 16S ribosomal RNA". It matches the Rfam family "Bacterial small subunit ribosomal RNA", at positions 28 to 507 of the family's 1533-position model. The record is from RNAcentral.